Long non-coding RNA from Mauremys reevesii (Reeves's turtle), 293 nucleotides. RefSeq lists it as uncharacterized. The record is from RefSeq and is a predicted model, not a curated record. The transcript has 3 exons. NCBI's taxonomy places the organism in Eukaryota, Metazoa, Chordata, Testudines, Geoemydidae.
ACAACGAGCCAGAGUAUGAGCCAGACGGACUCCCAGAGGUGGUCAGAAAAGGCUUUGCUGAUAUUCCUACUGGGAAAACCAACCCCUGUGUUUUGUGCAGAACAGCACUAAACCUAAAGACCAGUGCCCGUCUUGCUGCUCAAAGCCAAAAUUUGUCACCAUAUGGCCAAUGUUUACAAAAAGGCAGGUCAGCUAAUUUUGCCAAGAUCUCUAAACCGACAGCUGGUGGCAGCAAAUCACCAAAGGUAGAUGAUACUCAGCAGUGCCAAGCAGAAACAGCUAUUGAACCCAUG